RNAcentral lists this ribosomal RNA (253 nucleotides) under uncultured bacterium. Its description in RNAcentral is "partial 16S ribosomal RNA". It matches the Rfam family "Bacterial small subunit ribosomal RNA", at positions 524 to 776 of the family's 1533-position model. The record is from RNAcentral.
UACGUAGGGGGCGAGCGUUGUCCGGAUUCAUUGGGCGUAAAGCGCGGGCAGGCGGCCCGCUCAGUCGGCCGUGAAAGCGCCGGGCUCAACUCGGCGAGGGCGGGCGAUACUGGCGGGCUCGAGGCUGGUAGAGGGGGGUGGAAUUCCGGGUGUAGUGGUGGAAUGCGUAGAGCUCCGGAGGAACACCGGUGGCGAAGGCGACAUCCUGGACCGGCAUUGACGCUGAGGCGCGAAAGCCAGGGGAGCAAACGGG